Molecule: long non-coding RNA, 483 nt
Organism: Melospiza melodia melodia
Lineage: Eukaryota; Metazoa; Chordata; Aves; Passeriformes; Passerellidae
Exons: 2
Source: RefSeq, a predicted model, not a curated record
AGGGUCAGCGCCGGGGAGUUCAGCCAAGUUCAGAAAUCAGACACCGCGCUCCUGUGACACCGCACUGAGAGCCCGAGCGCGCAUUGCCACCUGUCCUCGCCCGGAGAGAACUCCUGGCUCUGGAAGUCCGUGCAAACACCUCCCCGAUGGAGGUGAGCAGGAGAGGAAGGCACCGAGAGCCCGGAGGGGACCCGCAGGUUUGUAGUCAAGCUUGGACUCCAGCUUCUUGGAAUCAGCCACUUUCCUGACAGCUUUCAUGAAAUCUUCCUGAACUACGAAGUCAUGAUCAGCACGGAUCGCAAACAUCCCUGGGAGGAGGAUUGAACAGUGUGAGGAGACACAACAUGAAGUUUCACUCAAAUUCAAAUGAAAACUGAUCCAGGUUACACUAUCUACAUGACAUUCCCAUAUCUUGGAUGUUGGGAAGAGGAGGGAAUUCACCUUUCUGAACUAUGGGAGUGGUAAAAAGAAAACUUGUUUAAA